AGUGAACGCUGGCGGUAGGCCUAACACAUGCAAGUCGAACGGCAGCACAGUAAGAGCUUGCUCUUACGGGUGGCGAGUGGCGGACGGGUGAGGAAUACAUCGGAAUCUACUUUUUCGUGGGGGAUAACGUAGGGAAACUUACGCUAAUACCGCAUACGACCUACGGGUGAAAGCAGGGGAUCUUCGGACCUUGCGCGAUUGAAUGAGCCGAUGUCGGAUUAGCUAGUUGGCGGGGUAAAGGCCCACCAAGGCGACGAUCCGUAGCUGGUCUGAGAGGAUGAUCAGCCACACUGGAACUUAGACACAGUCCAGACUCCUACGGGAGGCAGCAGUGGGGAAUAUUGGACAAUGGGCGCAAGCCUGAUCCAGCCAUACCGCGUGGGUGAAGAAGGCCUUCGGGUUGUAAAGCCCUUUUGUUGGGAAAGAAAAGCAGCAGGUUAAUACCCCGCUGUUCUGACGGUACCCAAAGAAUAAGCACCGGCUAACUUCGUG
Molecule: ribosomal RNA, 492 nt
Filed under: uncultured bacterium
Lineage: Bacteria
Description: partial 16S ribosomal RNA
Rfam family: Bacterial small subunit ribosomal RNA
Source: RNAcentral